This 254-nucleotide ribosomal RNA is filed under the name uncultured bacterium. RNAcentral's name for it is "partial 16S ribosomal RNA". It matches the Rfam family "Bacterial small subunit ribosomal RNA", at positions 524 to 776 of the family's 1533-position model. The record is from RNAcentral.
GACGAACCGUGCGAACGUUAUUCGGAAUCAUUGGGCUUAAAGGGCGCGUAGGCGGCGGCGUAAGUUGGAAGUGAAAUCCCAUCGGCUCAACCGUGGAAUCGCUCCCAGUACUGCGUCGCUCGAGGGGGAUAGGGGUCUGCGGAACUACCGGUGGAGCGGUGAAAUGCGCAGAUAUCAGGAAGAACACCCGUGGCGAAGGCGGCUCUCUGGAACGCAACUGACGCUGAGACGCGAAAGCGUGGGGAGCAAACAGG